AAGUAUAAAGUAAAAAAUUACACUUAAUUUCGACUUAAAAAUUAACUUUAAAUAGUUUGUACUUA
This 65-nucleotide transfer RNA is filed under the name Tetragonula pagdeni. RNAcentral describes it as "tRNA-Arg". The record is from RNAcentral. Lineage: Eukaryota; Metazoa; Arthropoda; Insecta; Hymenoptera; Apidae.